This 122-nucleotide ribosomal RNA is filed under the name Danio rerio (zebrafish). Lineage: Eukaryota; Metazoa; Chordata; Actinopteri; Cypriniformes; Danionidae. The record is from RNAcentral.
GUGAACGGCACAGCGAUCUGCUGAUGUUUAAAAUCCUGUAGUGUGAACUAGGCUUAAGCAGGGCUGAGCCUGGUCAGUAUCUGGAUAGGAGACCACAUGGGUAAACUAGGUUGCUGUUGGCA